Molecule: ribosomal RNA, 492 nt
Filed under: uncultured bacterium
Lineage: Bacteria
Description: partial 16S ribosomal RNA
Rfam family: Bacterial small subunit ribosomal RNA
Source: RNAcentral
AGUGAACGCUGGCGGUAGGCCUAACACAUGCAAGUCGAACGGCAGCACAGUAAGAGCUUGCUCUUACGGGUGGCGAGUGGCGGACGGGUGAGGAAUACAGCGGAAUCUACUUUUUCGUGGGGGAUAACGUAGGGAAACUUACGCUAAUACAGCAUAAGACCUACGGGUGAAAGCAGGGGAGCAUGGGACCUUGCGCGAAUGAAUGAGCCGAUGUCGGAUUAGCUAGUUGGCGGGGGAACGGACCACCCAGGCGACGAUCGUUAGCUGGUCUGAGAGGAUGAUCAGCCCCACUGGAACGGAGACACGCCCCAGCUCCCUACGGGAGGAAGCAGUGGGGAAUAUUGGCCACUGGGCGCAAGCCUGAUCCAGCCAUACCGCGUGGGUGAAGAAGGCCUUCGGGUUUUAAAGCCCUUUUGUUGGGAAGGACAAGCAGCAGGUUAAUACCCCGCUCUUCUGACGGUACCCAAACAAUAAGCACCGGCUAACUUCGUG